This 849-nucleotide ribosomal RNA is filed under the name Hymenoscyphus sp. 3 FC-5090. RNAcentral's name for it is "LSU rRNA". It matches the Rfam family "Eukaryotic large subunit ribosomal RNA", at positions 68 to 934 of the family's 3401-position model. Lineage: Eukaryota; Fungi; Ascomycota; Leotiomycetes; Helotiales; Helotiaceae. The record is from RNAcentral.
ACAGGGAUUACCUCAGUAACGGCGAGUGAAGCGGUAACAGCUCAAAUUUGAAAUCUGGGCCUUUCAGGUCCCGAGUUGUAAUUUGUAGAAGAUGCUUUGGGUGUGGUCCCGGUCUAAGUUCCUUGGAACAGGACGUCAUAGAGGGUGAGAAUCCCGUAUGUGACUGGGUGCCUUCGCCCGUGUAAAGCUCUUUCGACGAGUCGAGUUGUUUGGGAAUGCAGCUCAAAAUGGGUGGUAUAUUUCAUCUAAAGCUAAAUAUUGGCCAGAGACCGAUAGCGCACAAGUAGAGUGAUCGAAAGAUGAAAAGCACUUUGGAAAGAGAGUUAAACAGUACGUGAAAUUGUUGAAAGGGAAGCGCUUGCAACCAGACUCGCACGUCGUCGAUCAUCCGGGGUUCUCCCCGGUGCACUCGGCGGCAUUCGGGCCAGCAUCGGUUUGGGCGGCGGGACAAAAGCUGUGGGAAUGUGGCUGCCCUCGGGCAGUGUUAUAGCCCUCGGUACAAUGCCGCCCGCCCGGACCGAGGACCGCGCUUCGGCUAGGAUGCUGGCGUAAUGGUUGUAAGCGACCCGUCUUGAAACACGGACCAAGGAGUCUAACAUCUAUGCGAGUGUUUGAGUGUUAAACUCAUACGCGUAAUUAACGUGAACGGAGGUGAGAACCCUUUAGGGUGCAUCAUCGACCGAUCCUGAUGUCUUCGGAUGGAUUUGAGUAAGAGCAUAGCUGUUGGGACCCGAAAGAUGGUGAACUAUGCCUAAAUAGGGUGAAGCCAGAGGAAACUCUGGUGGAGGCUCGCAGCGGUUCUGACGUGCAAAUCGAUCGUCAAAUUUGGGUAUAGGGGCGAAAGACUAA